GUUUGAUCCUGGCUCAGAUUGAACGCUGGCGGCAAGCCUAACACAUGCAAGUCGAGCGGCAGCGAGAAAAAGUUUACUUUUUUGUCGGCGAGCGGCGAACGGGUGAGUAAUAUCUGGGGAUCUGCCUAGAAGAGGGGGACAACCAUUGGAAACGAUGGCUAAUACCGCAUAACGUUGAAAAACCAAAGUAGGGGACCUUACACUUCUAGAUGAACCCAGACGAGAUUAGCUUGAUGGUAGGGUAACGGCUUACCAAGGCGAUGAUCUCUAGCUGGUCUUAGAGGACAACCAGCCACACUGGAACUGAGACACGGUCCAGACUCCUACGGGAGGCAGCAGUGGGGAAUCUUGCACAAUGGGCGAAAGCCUGAUGCAGCUAUGCCGCGUGUAUGAAGAAGGCCUUCGGGUUGUAAAGUACUUUCGUCAGGGAAGAAAGGAAAAUAACUAAUAAUUAUUUUUUUUGACGUUACUUGAAAAAGA
RNAcentral lists this ribosomal RNA (480 nucleotides) under Buchnera aphidicola (Tuberculatus querciformosanus). RNAcentral describes it as "partial 16S ribosomal RNA". It matches the Rfam family "Bacterial small subunit ribosomal RNA", at positions 11 to 488 of the family's 1533-position model. Lineage: Bacteria; Pseudomonadati; Pseudomonadota; Gammaproteobacteria; Enterobacterales; Erwiniaceae. The record is from RNAcentral.